This 237-nucleotide ribosomal RNA is filed under the name uncultured Spirosoma sp. RNAcentral describes it as "partial 16S ribosomal RNA". It matches the Rfam family "Bacterial small subunit ribosomal RNA", at positions 1 to 254 of the family's 1533-position model. Lineage: Bacteria; Pseudomonadati; Bacteroidota; Cytophagia; Cytophagales; Cytophagaceae. The record is from RNAcentral.
UAGUGAGUUUGAUCCUGGCUCAGAACGAACGCUGGCGGCAGGCCUAACACAUGCAAGUCGAGCGCCCCGCAAGGAUAGUGGCAAACGGGUGCGUAACGCGUAAGCAACCUGCCCCAUACCGGGGGAUAGCCUGGCGAAAGCCGGGGUAAACCCGCAUAGUCCCUUUUUAGUUUCAUGACAGGCUGGGUAAACAUUUAUGGGUAUGGGAGGGGCUUGCGUCUGAUUAGCUAGUUGGGC